GGGGGCCCGCAAGCGGUGGAGCAUGUGGUUUAAUUCGACGCAACGCGAAGAACCUUACCUGGGCUCGAAAUGUAGUGGAAUCCGGUGGAAACAUCGGCGCCCAGCAAUGGGCCGCUAUAUAGGUGCUGCAUGGCUGUCGUCAGCUCGUGUCGUGAGAUGUUGGGUUAAGUCCCGCAACGAGCGCAACCCUUGUUACCAGUUGCUACCAUUUAGUUGAGCACUCUGGUGAGACCGCCUCGGAUAACGGGGAGGAAGGCGGGGAUGACGUCAAGUCCUCAUGGCCUUUAUGUCCAGGGCUACACACGUGCUACAAUGGCCGGUACAAACCGUCGCAAACCCGUGAGGGGGAGCUAAUCGGAAAAAGCCGGCCUCAGUUCGGAUUGGAGUCUGCAACUCGACUCCAUGAAGCUGGAAUCGCUAGUAAUCGCGGAUCAGAACGCCGCGGUGAAUACGUUCCCGGGCCUUGUACACACC
RNAcentral lists this ribosomal RNA (474 nucleotides) under uncultured bacterium. RNAcentral describes it as "bacterial SSU rRNA". It matches the Rfam family "Bacterial small subunit ribosomal RNA", at positions 915 to 1391 of the family's 1533-position model. The record is from RNAcentral.